Molecule: ribosomal RNA, 119 nt
Filed under: Helicoverpa zea (corn earworm)
Lineage: Eukaryota; Metazoa; Arthropoda; Insecta; Lepidoptera; Noctuidae
Source: RNAcentral
GCCAACGUCCAUACCACGUUGAAUACACCGGUUCUCGUCCGAUCACCGAAGUUAAGCAACAUCGGGCGCGUUCAGUACUUGGAUGGGUGACCGCCUGGGAACACCGCGUGACGUUGGCC